UACCAGCACCCCGAGUGGUCGGGACGAUUAUUGGGCCUAAAGCAUCCGUAGCCGGCCUUACAAGUCCUCCGUUAAAUCCAGCUGCUUAACAGAUGGGCUGCGGAGGAUACUAUAAGACUAGGAGGCAGGAGAGGCAAGCGGUACUCAGUGGGUAGGGGUAAAAUCCGUUGAUCCAUUGAAGACCACCAGUGGCGAAGGCGGCUUGCCAGAAUGCGCUCGACGGUGAGGGAUGAAAGCUGGGGGAGCGAACAGG
Molecule: ribosomal RNA, 253 nt
Filed under: uncultured bacterium
Lineage: Bacteria
Description: partial 16S ribosomal RNA
Rfam family: Archaeal small subunit ribosomal RNA
Source: RNAcentral